Molecule: ribosomal RNA, 500 nt
Filed under: uncultured bacterium
Lineage: Bacteria
Description: bacterial SSU rRNA
Rfam family: Bacterial small subunit ribosomal RNA
Source: RNAcentral
GAUUAGAGUUUGAUCCUGGCUCAGAUUGAACGCUUGGCGGGCAUGCCCCUCCCACAUGCAAAGUCGAACGGUAACAGGGAGCUUGCUCCCCCUGACGAGUGGCGAACGGGUGAGUAAUGUAUCGGAACGUACCUUUCAGUGGGGGAUAACGUAGCGAAAGUUACGCUAAUACCGCAUAUUCUGUGAGCAGGAAAGCAGGGGAUCGCAAGACCUUGCGCUGAUUGAGCGGCCGAUAUCAGAUUAGCUAGUUGGUGAGGUAAAGGCUCACCAAGGCGACGAUCUGUAGCGGGUCUGAGAGGAUGAUCCGCCACACUGGAACUGAGACACGGUCCAGACUCCUACGGGAGGCAGCAGUGGGGAAUUUUGGACAAUGGGGGCAACCCUGAUCCAGCCAUGCCGCGUGAGUGAAGAAGGCCUUCGGGUUGUAAAGCUCUUUCGGCCGGGAAGAAAUCGCAUGGGCUAAUACCCUGUGCGGAUGACGGUACCGGCAAAGAAGCCCG